ACUUUAACCCACUUAGGGGAACUUGUCCUUUAAUUCGAUAAUCCACGACAAUCUUAUUUAUUUUAGAACACUUCAGCUUGUAUACCGUCGUCACAAGUUAACCUUAAAGAGGAUAAAAGUUAACAACAAAGAUUAAGACAAAGGUCUUCUCUCAGGUCAGAUCAAGGUGCAGCUAAUAAAUAAAGACAGAGAUGAGUUACAAUUAACAAAUUUUACAUGGAAUUUUCAGAGAAAAAUGAAAAAGAAACAGGACUUAAAAGUAAUUAAUAAAAACAAAUGUUAAUGAAUAAGGUAAUAAAGUGUGC
This 305-nucleotide ribosomal RNA is filed under the name Cellana radians. Its description in RNAcentral is "partial 12S ribosomal RNA". The record is from RNAcentral. Lineage: Eukaryota; Metazoa; Mollusca; Gastropoda; Nacellidae.